RNAcentral lists this ribosomal RNA (380 nucleotides) under uncultured eukaryote. Its description in RNAcentral is "partial 18S ribosomal RNA". It matches the Rfam family "Eukaryotic small subunit ribosomal RNA", at positions 592 to 976 of the family's 1831-position model. The record is from RNAcentral.
CAAUAGCGUAUAUUAAAGUUGUUGCAGUUAAAAAGCUCGUGGUUGGAUUUGUGGCGUACGGUGUGUUCCGGGCACUUGUUGUCUGAGUAACCUGCUGUUGCCAUCCUUGGGUGGAACCUGUGUGGCAUUAGGUUGUCGUGCAGGGGAUGCCCAUCAUUUACUGUGAAAAAAUUAGAGUGUUCAAAGCAGGCUUAUGCCGUUGAAUAUAUUAGCAUGGAAUAAUGAGAUAGGACUUUUUUGCUAUUUUGUUGGUUUGCGCAAAGAGGUAAUGAUUAAUAGGGACAGUUGGGGGUAUUCGUAUUCCAUAGUCAGAGGUGAAAUUCUUGGAUUUUUGGAAGACGAACUACUGCGAAAGCAUUUACCAAGGAUGUUUUCAUUAA